This 214-nucleotide long non-coding RNA is filed under the name Polistes fuscatus (common paper wasp). Its description in RNAcentral is "uncharacterized LOC122526267". The record is from RNAcentral. Lineage: Eukaryota; Metazoa; Arthropoda; Insecta; Hymenoptera; Vespidae.
GGGAGAGGAGAGAUGUUAGGGGGCUUUUACACGCAGGUGGGCAGAGUAACGUCCGUGGUCGGGUCUCUGCUACUCGGUUCUCUGCGUUCCAUUGUCGACGAUGUGUCGGGCAUAAAGGAGGCGGACAACGUGUUGGCAACGGGCUGAUCUAUGUAGUCGCAUUGUCGAGCUCUUUUGCACGGUUAUCUCUAGAAAUCCCUGAAAAGAAGAAAAA